AACGAACGCUGGCGGCGUGCUUAACACAUGCAAGUCGUACGAGAAACAUGUCCUUCGGGGCAUGGAGUAAAGUGGCGCACGGGUGAGUAACACGUGGGUAACCUACCCUGAGGAUCGGGAUAACUGGCCGAAAGGCCCGCUAAUACCGGAUAAGACCACAUGGGCCCUGGCCCAAGAGGUCAAAGCCGGCCUCUCGACGAAGCCGACACCACAGGAUGGGCCCGCGGACCAUUAGCUAGUUGGUGAGGUAACGGCUCACCAAGGCCGAGAUGGUUAACUGGUCUGAGAGGAUGAUCAGCCACACUGGAACUGAGAUACGGUCCAGACUCCGACGGGAGGCAGCAGUGAGGAAUAUUGCGCAAUGGGGGAAACCCUGACGCAGCAACGCCGCGUGGGUGAAGAAGGCUUUCGGGUUGUAAAGCCCUGUCAGGCGGGAAGAAACCUCUGUAGUCGAAUAGGCUGCAGAACUGACGGUACCGCCAAAGGAAGCACCGGCUAACUCCGUGCCAGCCGCCGCAGUAA
RNAcentral lists this ribosomal RNA (522 nucleotides) under uncultured bacterium. RNAcentral's name for it is "partial 16S ribosomal RNA". It matches the Rfam family "Bacterial small subunit ribosomal RNA", at positions 29 to 523 of the family's 1533-position model. The record is from RNAcentral.